GGGCAGUCAAAAGGGAAAGAGCCCAGACCGCCAGCUAAGGUCCCAAAGUGUGUGUUAAGUGGAAAAGGAUGUGGGAUCUCCAAGACAACUAGGAUGUUGGCUCAGAAGCAGCCACACAUUCAAAGAGUGCGUAACAGCUCACUAGUCGAGAGGUCCUGCGCCGAAAAUGUCCGGGGCUGAAACACAACACCGAAGCUGCGGAAUUGCGAAUGCAAUUGGUAGAGGAGCAUUCUUAAUACCGACGAAGCUGUACCGGAAGGAGCAGUGGAGGGAUAAGAAGAGAGAAUGCCGGAAUGAGUAGCGAGAGAGAGGUGGGAAUCCUCUCGGCCGAAUAUCCAAGGUUUCCAGAGUAAAGCUGAUCUGCUCUGGGUAAGUCGGGGCCUAAGGCGAGGUCAAGAGACGUAGCCGAUGGACAACAGGUUUAGAUUCCUGUACCGCAUAUAAACAGAACUGUGGGGACGCAUGGGGAGAGCAUGGGCCGGGAAUGGAAAUACCGGUGCAAGCGAAGGAGGUGUGCAGCCGGCAAAUCCGCUGCAUGAGCCGAAAGCGUGACGCGGAGCGAAAUGAAAGUAGCGAAGCAUGUGAGCCCUGUGCCGAGAAAAGCCGCUAUAGCUUUAUAUGUGCCCGUACCGUAAACCGACACAGGUGGAUGAGGAGAGAAUCCUAAGGCCGGCGGAAGAAGUAUUGUUAAGGAACUCGGCAAAAUGACCCCGUAACUUCGGGAGAAGGGGUGCCCACGGGAGUGGGCCGCAGAGAAUAGGCUCAAGCAACUGUUUAGCAAAAACACAGGUCUAUGCGAAACCGAAAGGUGAAGUAUAUGGGCUGACGCCUGCCCGGUGCUGGAAGGUUAAGAGGAGAGGUUAGCGCAAGCGAAGCUUUGAAUUUAAGCCCCAGUAAACGGCGGCCGUAACUAUAACGGUCCUAAGGUAGCGAAAUUCCUUGUCGGGUAAGUUCCGACCCGCACGAAAGGCGUAAUGAUUUGAGCACUGUCUCGACAAUACAUCCGGUGAAAUUGAAGUACCAGUGAAGAUGCUGGUUACCCGCGCCAGGACGGAAAGACCCCAUGGAGCUUUACUCCAGUUUGGUACUGGGAUUCGGUACUGCACGUACAGGAUAGGUGGGAGACUUUGAAACUUGAACGCCAGUUUGAGUGGAGUCGCUGUUGGGAUACCACCCCUGCAGUAUUGGGUUUCUAACCAGUCACCGUGAUCCGGUGAUGGGACAAUGCCAGGCGGGGAGUUUGACUGGGGCGGUCGCCUCCGAAAGGGUAUCGGAGGCGCUCAAAGGUUCCCUCAGAAUGGUCGGAAACCAUUUGAAGAGUGCAAAGGCAGAAGGGAGCUUGACUGCGACACCGACGGGUGGAGCAGGUAGGAAACUAGGACUUAGUGAUCCGGUGGCAUAAAGUGGGAUUGCCAUCGCUCAACGGAUAAAAGCUACCCUGGGGAUAACAGGCUUAUCACUCCCAAGAGUUCACAUCGACGGAGUGGUUUGGCACCUCGAUGUCGGCUCAUCGCAUCCUGGGGCUGUAGUAGGUCCCAAGGGUUGGGCUGUUCGCCCAUUAAAGCGGUACGCGAGCUGGGUUCAGAACGUCGUGAGACAGUUCGGUCCCUAUCCGGCGCGGGCGGAGGAUAUUUGAGAGGAGCUGUCCUUAGUACGAGAGGACCGGGAUGGACGGACCACUGGUGUAUCUGCUGUCGGCCAACGGCAUGGCAGAGUAGCCAAGUCCGGAAGGGAUAAACGCUGAAGGCAUCUAAGCGUGAAGCCCCCCUCAAGAUGAGAUAUCCCUCACAAAAGUGAGUAAGAUCCCUUGAAGACUACAAGGUAGAUAGGGCAGAGGUGGAAGUGUGGCAACACAUGGAGCUGACUGUUACUAAUCGAUCGAGGGCUUGACCAA
RNAcentral lists this ribosomal RNA (1894 nucleotides) under human gut metagenome. Its description in RNAcentral is "bacterial LSU rRNA". It matches the Rfam family "Bacterial large subunit ribosomal RNA", at positions 1005 to 2925 of the family's 2925-position model. The record is from RNAcentral.